This is a long non-coding RNA of Phacochoerus africanus (Common warthog), 1008 nucleotides long. RefSeq lists it as uncharacterized. The transcript is spliced from 2 exons. The record is from RefSeq and is a predicted model, not a curated record. NCBI's taxonomy places the organism in Eukaryota, Metazoa, Chordata, Mammalia, Artiodactyla, Suidae.
AGUUAGCUUCUUCCUCUGCCCUUGAGGGGCUGGGUUUGGGAACCCCCUCUCCGAUGAGGUCCUCCGGCCAGAGGAGGAGAGGGAGAGCCGGGAGGCCGCUCUGUCCUGCUUGUCUUUCUCAGCUUUUGCUUUGUGCGAUCAGGGGAGGAACCCCACGCAGGGGAACGGUUAGUGGCUUUGGGGUCUCUUUGGUGGCCCUGUUUGAAGGAGGAGGCAGGCCAAGGGUGCAGGGUCAGGCCCAGGGGCAGAAAGGGAUGAGGCGAUGACCACAGUCGGGGAUCCAGGCCUGGCAAGCGGCAGAGGUGCCGGAGAGGACCAGCCGCCGGGCGGAGAUCGAAGCAGAAAAACAUUUAUGGCCGCGCGCCCAAAAGCGGGGAGCAAGGCCGGGGCUCUGGUAGCCCUGGGAAGGUUGCCUUCCUGAGGUCUUUCAAAAAGAGGAGAGAGAGAGAGAGAGAGAGAGAAGGGAGGGGUUGGGGCGCCUUGAAUUUUCCUUCCCGGGCUUGGAGCGCAGCGCAUUUCUGUAAAGGAAGAGAAGAGCACCGUCCUGGAUCUUUCCACGUCCGCCUCAUUCUAUCCAGGCCUCUCCCCUUGCCCGAGCUCUCAGCCGCCACCAGAAGACUGACACGGAAGGGGCUUCUGGGCCCCCCCCCACCAACUCCUGCCUGGUUUCCCAAACUUCAGCGACCUCCAGCCCUCUUUGGGUGGAAAAUAGCAGGGCCCAGGCACCUCUUCUUCUUGUCAUUUGUGACCCGUGCUCUCAUCAGGAAUAUCUUACAAAGAAGGAGAGGAAGGCUGGCUAGAGCCCUGUUUAUAUCUAGUUCUGCAGAUCCCUUCACAUCUGGAGAGUUUAUUUAUAACUCCCACUAUAACUCUCUCUGUUUGGAGGCACUGGUGGCUCUAUUGACAGACUGAUGUCUAGAAAAUAUUGCUCUAUCUCUAACCAUAUCUAAAUGUGCUGCGGCUGUAUGUACAGAUUUAUGCUCCAGGGAAAUAUAAUUAUUUCCAUUG